This is a long non-coding RNA of Oncorhynchus keta (chum salmon), 2414 nucleotides long. RefSeq lists it as uncharacterized. The transcript has 3 exons. The record is from RefSeq and is a predicted model, not a curated record. Lineage: Eukaryota; Metazoa; Chordata; Actinopteri; Salmoniformes; Salmonidae.
UUGUGGGUUAUUGUCUAUGUGUAGUGUUUGUGUCAGCACGAUUGUUCAUUAGUGUCACGGUUGUUGUUUUGUAGUGUUCAGUUUUCCCAUUAAAAUGACGAAUACUUACCAUUCCGCAUCUUGGUCCUCCUCUCUAUCUCCAGAUGACAACUGUGACAUCGGUCUUUCCUUCACGCAAAUGAUGGGGAUCUGGGCCUGUUCCCGGGAGAGCGGUACAUCUUUCUCGCCAGACUCGUUAAAGGUAAAAGCUUCUUCCAGUUUGUGGUGUGAGGGCCGUCCCGUGCCAGCAGUCAAUUAAAGGUGGAUGACCAACCCCGUGCUCGCCUGGGGACCUGGCUGCCAUAGAAUUGACCUGGAUGGAUGUACCUAGCGACAAGUUGCUGAUGCCCAUUAUCUGCGUGUCUGACAUGCUGCGCUCACUAUCCUUCAGGAGACCCACAGUCAACAUGGAGGACUUGUUCAAGGUCAUGAAGUUCAUUGAGGACUUUGAACAGGAAGGCUGAGAGGUUUCACUAUCAUGUCUCUCCUCUAAACCCCCGUUCGUACAACCUUUUGUCAAAAAGUUGCUACAGUAUUACAACGUUAAACUCUGACUUGUUCGACUAAUCUACAUUGGCAAGAAUGAUGGAUUUAAAAAAAAUGUAUAUUCUUUCCCUACGCUAUUGGACAGUCCUGAAGACUGAAAGACUGUAUUUAUUUUAUUGCCAUCCUACACUUUUACAGUGAGUACAGAGCUCAUCAUUCAGUGGGGAAGGUGUUUGCAUUUUAAUUUGUUUCUGUAUUUUUCAUAAUUUGUCAGUCCUUUUCUUUUUCUGGUUUUGAACAUUGAAAAUAAUAGUUCCACGACAGACAUUAUCAUUGGGGUGGCAGGUAGCCUAGUGGUUAGAGCAUUGGGCCAAUAACCAAAUGGUUGCUGAAUAGAAUCCCUGAGCUGACAAGGUAAAACUCUCUUGUUCUGCCCCUGAGCAAGGCAGUUAACACACUGAAUGCAUUCUGGGUGCUGAAGAUGUGGAUGCUGAUUAUGGAAGCCCCCCGCACCUCUCUGAUUUAGAGGGGUUGGGUUAAAUGCGGAAGACACAUUUCAGCAGAAUUCAUUCAGUUGUACAACUGACUAGGUAUCCCCCUUUCCAAUACUGUUGCCAUAAUAGUAUUGAUGUCUCUGUAUACAGUGCAUUCGGAAACUAUUCAGAACCCUUGACUUUUCCAAAUGUUUUCGAUGGGGUUGAGGUCAGGGCUCUGUGCAGGCCAGCCAGUCCUUCUGUGGCUCAGUUGGUAGAGCACGGCGCUUGUAACGCCAGGGUAGUGGGUUCGAUUCCCGGGACCACCCAUACGUAGAAUGUAUGCACACAUGACUGUAAGUCGCUUUGGAUAAAAGCGUCAGCUAAAUGGCAUAUAUUAUUAUUAUAUAAGUUAUUCCAACGAUCUCAACAAGCUUUUGUAAUAUCUGUAUAGACCUCGCUUUGUGCACGCACAGAAUCGUCCCGAAUGUCAUUGUAUGCUGUAGCGUUGACACUGCCUUGGGGCAGUUAGCGUUCUCCUGGCAUCCGCCAAACCCAGCUUUGUCCAUCGGACUGCCAGAUGGUGAAGCGUGAUUCAUUACUCCAGAGAAGUCCAAUAGUUUCAAGCUUUACACCACUCGCCGACGCUUCGCACUGCUCAUGGUGAUCUUAGGCUUGUCUGCGGCUGCUCGGCCAUGGAAACCCAUUUCAUGAAGCUCCAGAUGAACUGUUAUUGUGCUGACGUUGUGUCCAGAGGCAGUUUGGAACUCAGUAGUGAGUGUUGCAACCGAGGACAGAGGAUUUUAAUGCGCUUCAGCACUCGGCUGUCCCGUUCUGUGAGCUUGUGUGGCCUACCACUUCGCGGCUGAGCCGUUAUUUCUCCUAGAAGUUUCCACUUCACAAUAACAGCACUUACAGUUGACCAGGGCAGCUCUAGCAUGGCAGAAAUUUGAUGAACUGACUUGUUGGAAAGGUGGCAUUUUAUGAUGUGCCACGUUAAAAGUCACAGCUCUUCAAUAAGGACAUUCUACUGCCAAUGUUUCUCUGGAGAUUGGUAUGGCUGUGUGCUCGAUUUUAUAAACCUGUCAGCAAAGGAUGUGGCUGAAAUGUCUGAAUCCACUAAUUUGAAGGGUUUUCCACAUACGUGUGUGUACAGUAGUUGUGGGUCUAUCGGAUCAGUAAAUCUGAAGUCGGUUCUGGUUCCAGAGGGGAUCUCAAUGCUGUUACACAUAGCCAUGUUAACCAAGUUACCCUGAAUUAAAAAAGAUGCGUGUUAUUAUUUCAUUUUAACUUUACAUUAUACCUUGUGUUAAGACUGACUACACACUUUCCUUAUUUAUUUCUGUCCACAACUUUUGAAACAAGUAAUAAUUAAACACACUGUCUUUCCAAUUGAUGUAAACUUCCACACAAAUA